ACGAACGCUGGCGGCGUGCUUAACACAUGCCAGUCGAACGGAAAGGCCCUGCUUUUGUGGGGUUCUCGAGUGGCGAACGGGUGAGUAACACGUGAGUAACCUGCCCUUGACUUUGGGAUAACUUCAGGAAACUGGGGCUAAUACCGGAUAGGAGCUCCUGCUGCAUGGUGGGGGUUGGAAAGUUUCGGCGGUUGGGGAUGGACUCGCGGCUUAUCAGCUUGUUGGUGGGGUAGUGGCUUACCAAGGCUUUGACGGGUAGCCGGCCUGAGAGGGUGACCGGCCACAUUGGGACUGAGAUACGGCCCAGACUCCUACGGGAGGCAGCAGUGGGGAAUAUUGCACAAUGGGCGGAAGCCUGAUGCAGCAACGCCGCGUGCGGGAUGACGGCCUUCGGGUUGUAAACCGCUUUCGCCUGUGACGAAGCGUGAGUGACGGUAAUGGGUAAAGAAGCACCGGCUAACUACGUG
Molecule: ribosomal RNA, 467 nt
Filed under: uncultured bacterium
Lineage: Bacteria
Description: partial 16S ribosomal RNA
Rfam family: Bacterial small subunit ribosomal RNA
Source: RNAcentral